AUGAUCAAUGUGCAUGUCGGUCGUCCGAAGUUGCGGACGGUAAAAGGGAAUCCCGUGCAAAUCGGGAACGGUCCCGCCGCUGUUAUCCCCGCCUUGACCGAAAAUCAGGGCGCCCCACCGAGAGAACGCCACUGUGCAUACCGCAUGGGAAGGGUUCGGUUGGGGGAGGAGAGUCAGAAGACCUGCCGACCAUGCCAAUUGUGC
Molecule: non-coding RNA, 204 nt
Filed under: Desulfobulbus propionicus
Lineage: Bacteria; Pseudomonadati; Thermodesulfobacteriota; Desulfobulbia; Desulfobulbales; Desulfobulbaceae
Also listed under: 1 other name
Source: RNAcentral